Molecule: ribosomal RNA, 291 nt
Filed under: Peniophora sp. KH00302
Lineage: Eukaryota; Fungi; Basidiomycota; Agaricomycetes; Russulales; Peniophoraceae
Description: 5.8S ribosomal RNA
Rfam family: 5.8S ribosomal RNA (bases 7-160)
About the family: 5.8S ribosomal RNA (5.8S rRNA) is a component of the large subunit of the eukaryotic ribosome. It is transcribed by RNA polymerase I as part of the 45S precursor that also contains 18S and 28S rRNA.
Source: RNAcentral
AAAUACAACUUUCAACAACGGAUCUCUUGGCUCUCGCAUCGAUGAAGAACGCAGCGAAAUGCGAUAAGUAAUGUGAAUUGCAGAAUUCAGUGAAUCAUCGAAUCUUUGAACGCACCUUGCGCCCCUUGGCAUUCCGAGGGGCACGCCUGUUUGAGUGUCGUGAACUCCUCCACUUCACAUCUUUUUCGAAGGAUGUCGAAGCUGGGAUUUGGGAGCUUGCGGGUCCCUGGCCGAUCCGCUCUCCUUGAAUACAUUAGCGAAGCCCUUGCGGCCUUGGUGUGAUAGUCAUCU